RNAcentral lists this ribosomal RNA (629 nucleotides) under Trichoderma asperellum. Its description in RNAcentral is "eukaryotic LSU rRNA". The stretch from base 240 to 393 matches the Rfam family "5.8S ribosomal RNA". Lineage: Eukaryota; Fungi; Ascomycota; Sordariomycetes; Hypocreales; Hypocreaceae. The record is from RNAcentral.
GGUAGUAAAAAGUCGUAACAAGGUCUCCGUUGGUGAACCAGCGGAGGGAUCAUUACCGAGUUUACAACUCCCAAACCCAAUGUGAACGUUACCAAACUGUUGCCUCGGCGGGGUCACGCCCCGGGUGCGUCGCAGCCCCGGAACCAGGCGCCCGCCGGAGGAACCAACCAAACUCUUUCUGUAGUCCCCUCGCGGACGUAUUUCUUUACAGCUCUGAGCAAAAAUUCAAAAUGAAUCAAAACUUUCAACAACGGAUCUCUUGGUUCUGGCAUCGAUGAAGAACGCAGCGAAAUGCGAUAAGUAAUGUGAAUUGCAGAAUUCAGUGAAUCAUCGAAUCUUUGAACGCACAUUGCGCCCGCCAGUAUUCUGGCGGGCAUGCCUGUCCGAGCGUCAUUUCAACCCUCGAACCCCUCCGGGGGAUCGGCGUUGGGGAUCGGGACCCCUCACACGGGUGCCGGCCCCUAAAUACAGUGGCGGUCUCGCCGCAGCCUCUCCUGCGCAGUAGUUUGCACAACUCGCACCGGGAGCGCGGCGCGUCCACGUCCGUAAAACACCCAACUUUCUGAAAUGUUGACCUCGGAUCAGGUAGGAAUACCCGCUGAACUUAAGCAUAUCAAUAAGCGGAGGAA